AUCAAUUUACCAACUUCAUUGGUGAAUUAUAUAAAAUCGCCGAUAAAAGUGAGAAAUUUUGCGAAAUUUACCAAGAUGAUAGGUGAUUUGCAUAAUUACCGGCCAUUAUAUAUAUCAUCACCAAUUAAUCACUUUUACCGUUACCUAUAUAACAUAUAUAUACACAUACAUACACGGUAUAUCUACGGUAUCAACUUUUGUUGUUUUUCUCUCUACUCUCUCUUAUACACAAUAAACAUCGUAUAUAUAGCAGUAAUACAACACAGUAGAAGAUAUAUAGCCAGUAUACAUUACACCAAUAAGUGACUACCAGGAUUACCUGGGUUAAUGCUGACUGACCAAUGAUGGUUAAUUAUGGACACUUUAUCCUAGAGGGGCUGGGUAAGAUCUGUAAACAGCCCAGGUUAAUUUCUUUCUUAAGUAAUUGGCUAUAAAAAUUAAAAUGAAAACACUAGAAUAAAUAUGGCUGUAAAUAAAUCAAUUUCCUUUUUGGAUAAAUUAUACAACACUUAUUUAUUUUUGAAUAGGAAAGACGUACGGCCCAUUUUCAUCCUGGCUAAUUCUAUAGUUUUUUCAAAAUAAAUUGAUGGCCAAUUGUUUCCU
RNAcentral lists this long non-coding RNA (603 nucleotides) under Androctonus crassicauda. The record is from RNAcentral. Lineage: Eukaryota; Metazoa; Arthropoda; Arachnida; Scorpiones; Buthidae.